This 305-nucleotide ribosomal RNA is filed under the name uncultured bacterium. RNAcentral's name for it is "bacterial SSU rRNA". It matches the Rfam family "Bacterial small subunit ribosomal RNA", at positions 337 to 639 of the family's 1533-position model. The record is from RNAcentral.
UCCUACGGGGGGCAGCAGUGAGGAAUAUUGGUCAAUGGUCGUAAGACUGAACCAGCCAAGUAGCGUGCAGGAUGACGGCCCUAUGGGUUGUAAACUGCUUUUAUGCGGGGAUAAAAUGCGUCACGUGUGAUGUUUUGUAGGUACCGCAUGAAUAAGGACCGGCUAAUUCCGUGCCAGCAGCCGCGGUAAUACGGAAGGUCCGGGCGUUAUCCGGAUUUAUUGGGUUUAAAGGGAGCGUAGGCCGCAUGUUAAGCGUGCCGUGAAAUGCCGUGGCUCAACCAUGGCACUGCGGCGCGAACUGGCUU